RNAcentral lists this ribosomal RNA (497 nucleotides) under uncultured bacterium. RNAcentral's name for it is "partial 16S ribosomal RNA". It matches the Rfam family "Bacterial small subunit ribosomal RNA", at positions 28 to 507 of the family's 1533-position model. The record is from RNAcentral.
GAUGAACGCUGGCGGCGUGCCUAAUACAUGCAAGUCGAGCGAACAGAUGAGGAGCUUGCUCCUCUGACGUUAGCGGCGGACGGGUGAGUAACACGUGGAUAACCUACCUAUAAGACUUGGAUAACUUCGGGAAACCGGAGCUAAUACCGGAUAAUAUAUUGAACCGCAUGGUUCAAUAGUGAAAGACGGUUUUGCUGUCACUUAUAGAUGGAUCCGCGCCGCAUUAGCUAGUUGGUAAGGUAACGGCUUACCAAGGCAACGAUGCGUAGCCGACCUGAGAGGGUGAGCGGCCCCACUGGAACUGAGACACGGUCCAGACUCCUACGGGAGGCAGCAGUAGGGAAUCUUCCGCAAUGGGCGAAAGCCUGACGGAGCAACGCCGCGUGAGUGAUGAAGGUCUUCGGAUCGUAAAACUCUGUUAUUAGGGAAGAACAAAUGUGUAAGUAACUAUGCACGUCUUGACGGUACCUAAUCAGAAAGCCACGGCUAACUACGUG